GCCCCUAUAGCUCAGCGGUAGAGCGUUUGCAUGGUAAGCAAAAGGUCGUGAGUUCAAUUCUCGCUGGUGGCU
This 72-nucleotide transfer RNA is filed under the name uncultured archaeon. RNAcentral's name for it is "tRNA-Thr(ggt)". It matches the Rfam family "tRNA". From Rfam's summary of the family: Transfer RNA (tRNA) molecules are approximately 80 nucleotides in length. Their secondary structure includes four short double-helical elements and three loops (D, anti-codon, and T loops). The record is from RNAcentral.